CGAGCGGAACGAUCCUAGCUUGCUAGGAGGCGUCGAGCGGCGGACGGGUGAGUAACGCGUGAGAAUCUACCCAUGAGUGGGGGACAACCCGGGGAAACUCGGGCUAAUACCGCAUACGCCCUACGGGGUAAAGCAGGGGACCUUCGGGCCUUGCGCUGAUGGAUGAGCUCGCGUCGGAUUAGCUUGUUGGUGAGGUAAAGGCUCACCAAGGCGACGAUCCGUAGCUGGUCUGAGAGGAUGAUCAGCCACACCGGGACUGAGACACGGCCCGGACUCCUACGGGAGGCAGCAGUGGGGAAUCUUGGACAAUGGGGGCAACCCUGAUCCAGCCAUGCCGCGUGUGUGAAGAAGGCCUUCGGGUUGUAAAGCACUUUCAGCAGGGAGGAAGGCUUACCCCUAAUACGGGUGAGUACUUGACGUUACCUGCAGAAAAAGCACCGGCUAAUUUCGUGCCAGCAGCCGCGGUAAUACGAAAGGUGCAAGCGUUAAUCGGAAUUACUGGGCGUAAAGCGCGCGUAGGCGGUGUGUUAAGUCGGAUGUGAAAGCCCAGGGCUCAACCUUGGAAUUGCAUCCGAUACUGGCACGCUAGAGUGCAGUAGAGGGAGGUGGAAUUUCCGGUGUAGCGGUGAAAUGCGUAGAGAUCGGAAGGAACACCAGUGGCGAAGGCGGCCUCCUGGACUGACACUGACGCUGAGGUGCGAAAGCGUGGGGAGCAAACAGAGAUUAGAUACCCUGGUAGUCCACGCUGUAAACGAUGUCUACUAGCCGUCGGGGUCCUUAGUGACUUUGGUGGCGCAGCUAACGCGAUAAGUAGACCGCCUGAGGGAGUACGG
Molecule: ribosomal RNA, 833 nt
Filed under: uncultured bacterium
Lineage: Bacteria
Description: bacterial SSU rRNA
Rfam family: Bacterial small subunit ribosomal RNA
Source: RNAcentral